UACGGAGGAUCCAAGCGUUAUCCGGAAUCAUUGGGUUUAAAGGGUCCGUAGGCGGCUUUAUAAGUCAGUGGUGAAAGCCCAUCGCUUAACGAUGGAACGGCCAUUGAUACUGUAGAGCUUGAAUUACUGUGAAGUAACUAGAAUAUGUAGUGUAGCGGUGAAAUGCUUAGAUAUUACAUGGAAUACCAAUUGCGAAGGCAGGUUACUAACAGUGGAUUGACGCUGAUGGACGAAAGCGUGGGGAGCGAACAGG
This 253-nucleotide ribosomal RNA is filed under the name uncultured prokaryote. RNAcentral describes it as "partial 16S ribosomal RNA". It matches the Rfam family "Bacterial small subunit ribosomal RNA", at positions 524 to 776 of the family's 1533-position model. The record is from RNAcentral.